RNAcentral lists this unclassified non-coding RNA (320 nucleotides) under fungal sp. RNAcentral describes it as "partial internal transcribed spacer region". The stretch from base 1 to 46 matches the Rfam family "Eukaryotic small subunit ribosomal RNA", at positions 1786 to 1831 of the family's 1831-position model. The record is from RNAcentral. Lineage: Eukaryota; Fungi.
AAGUCGUAACAAGGUUUCCGUAGGUGAACCUGCGGAAGGAUCAUUACCACGUGCCAAAAACACGUCAACCAAACGCGAACUGUUCUCCUUCUCCCUUUGUGCUGGAGCAGCUGUCUAUUUCGAUAGACGCCUGCAUUCCAACGCUAAAGGCUAUUAUUUAUUUAUCUAUUAAAUAAAUAACAACAUACAAACGAAUAUCACCGCCCUUCUCCAAGUUGACUUAUUUUUUACUGUGCGUUGCUUUACCGCAUCGCACACGUUUAAUAAUUAUUAAUUGAACGUAAAAAAUACAACUCUUAGCGAUGGACCUCUUGGCUCUC